RNAcentral lists this ribosomal RNA (274 nucleotides) under uncultured bacterium. RNAcentral describes it as "partial 16S ribosomal RNA". It matches the Rfam family "Bacterial small subunit ribosomal RNA", at positions 523 to 796 of the family's 1533-position model. The record is from RNAcentral.
AUACAGAGGGUGCAAGCGUUAAUCGGAAUUACUGGGCGUAAAGCGCAUGUAGGCGGAUAUUUAAGUCGAUUGUGAAAUCCCCGGGCUCAACCUGGGAACUGCAGUCGAUACUGGAUGUCUAGAGUAUAGGAGAGGAAAGUGGAAUUCCCGGUGUAGCGGUGGAAUGCAUAGAUCUCGGGAGGAACAUCAGUGGCGAAGGCGACUUUCUGGCCUAAUACUGACGCUCAGAUGCGAAAGCGUGGGUAGCAAACAGGAUUAGAAACCCUAGUAGUCC